GGGAUUGCCCUAGUAACGGCGAGUGAAGCGGCAAUAGCUCAAAUUUGAAAUCUGGCCCUCGCGGUCCGAGUUGUAAUUUGUAGAGGAUGCUUUUGGUGCGGUGCCUUCCGAGUUCCCUGGAACGGGACGCCAGAGAGGGUGAGAGCCCCGUACGGUUGGACGCCUAACCUAUAUAUAGCUCCUUCGACGAGUCGAGUAGUUUGGGAAUGCUGCUCUAAAUGGGAGGUAAAUUUCUUCUAAAGCUAAAUACCGGCCAGAGACCGAUAGCGCACAAGUAGAGUGAUCGAAAGAUGAAAAGCACUUUGAAAAGAGGGUUAAAUAGCACGUGAAAUUGUUGAAAGGGAAGCGUUUGCGACCAGACCUUUUCUAGGGGGAUCAACCGGUGUUCUCACCGGUGCACUUCCCCUGGUUUAGGCCAGCAUCGGUUCUCUGAGGGGGAUAAAGGCAGGGGGAACGUAGCUCUUUCGGGAGUGUUAUAGCCCCCUGCGUAAUACCCCUCGGGGGACCGAGGACCGCGCUCUGCAAGGAUGCUGGCGUAAUGGUCGUCAACGACCCGUCUUGAAACACGGACCAAGGAGUCGAACAUUUGUGCGAGUGUUUGGGUGUUAAACCCUCACGCGUAAUGAAAGUGAACGGAGGUGAGAGCCCUUACGGGCGCAUCAUCGACCGAUCCUGAUGUCUUCGGAUGGAUUUGAGUAAGAGCAUAACUGUUCGGACCCGAAAGAUGGUGAACUAUGCGUGGAUAGGGUGAAGCCAGAGGAAACUCUGGUGGAGGCUCGCAGCGGUUCUGACGUGCAAAUCGAUCGUCAAAUCUGCGCAUGGGGGCGAAAGACUUAUCGAACCAUUGAAACCAGCGGUAAAUCUUGAUUUACUAGGUGGUUAAGAGGUCCCCUGGGAGGGGGGCCUAGGCUUACGAGCCAGUUUACCCUGUAGCUACCCUGGAGUAGGGAGCCUCGGAGUGCUGGCGCGGCCGACACCGCUAAAUUGCGGGAAAGUCCUAAUAGAAGGCCACAGGCUACCGCCUGGCGCUGAAAAGCGCCACGGCACCAAGAAUAGCGCUCUUGGGUAUGGUAAAAACGCCUGUGGUAGCGGACGACCUGCAGCCAACCCCGCAGACGACAGGGGAGAGUUCACUGACUAAAUAGCGGUGGGUUAGCGUAUGCUAGCCUAAGACAUAGUCGAUCCGGCGCCUGAAAAGG
Molecule: ribosomal RNA, 1199 nt
Filed under: Hypoxylon sp.
Lineage: Eukaryota; Fungi; Ascomycota; Sordariomycetes; Xylariales; Hypoxylaceae
Description: partial large subunit ribosomal RNA
Rfam family: Eukaryotic large subunit ribosomal RNA
Source: RNAcentral